UGAGGAAUAUUGGUCAAUGGGCGCAAGCCUGAACCAGCCAUCCCGCGUGCAGGAAGACGGCGCUAUGCGUUGUAAACUGCUUUUCCAGGGGGAGAAACUUGCGCACGUGUUGCGCAAUUGACGGUACCCUGGGAAUAAGCAUCGGCUAACUCCGUGCCAGCAGCCGCGGUAAUACGGAGGAUGCGAGCGUUAUCCGGAUUCAUUGGGUUUAAAGGGUGCGUAGGCGGACUAUUAAGUCAGUGGUGAAAUCCUGCAGCUUAACUGCAGAACUGCCAUUGAUACUGAUAGCCUUGAGUUUGGUUAAGGUAGGCGGAAUGUGUAAUGUAGCGGUGAAAUGCUUAGAUAUUACACAGAACACCAAUUGCGUAGGCAGCUUACUGAGCCGACACUGACGCUGAGGCACGAAAGCGUGGGGAUCGAACAGG
RNAcentral lists this ribosomal RNA (425 nucleotides) under uncultured Bacteroidales bacterium. RNAcentral describes it as "bacterial SSU rRNA". It matches the Rfam family "Bacterial small subunit ribosomal RNA", at positions 355 to 776 of the family's 1533-position model. Lineage: Bacteria; Pseudomonadati; Bacteroidota; Bacteroidia; Bacteroidales. The record is from RNAcentral.